AGAGUUUGAUCCUGGCUCAGGACGAACGCUGGCGGCGUGCCUAACACAUGCAAGUCGAGCGGAGAUACAAAGUAGUUUACUACGAUGUAUCUUAGCGGCGGACGGGUGAGUAACGCGUGGGCAACCUGCCUUACAGAGGGGGAUAACAGUGCGAAAGUACUGCUAAUACCGCAUGAUAUUGUACUAUCUCAUGAUAGAACAAUCAAAGGAGAAAUCCGCUGUAAGAUGGGCCCGCGUCUGAUUAGCUAGUUGGUGAGGUAAUGGCUCACCAAGGCGACGAUCAGUAGCCGAUCUGAGAGGAUGAACGGCCACACUGGAACUGAGACACGGUCCAGACUCCUACGGGAGGCAGCAGUGGGGAAUAUUGCACAAUGGGGGAAACCCUGAUGCAGCAACGCCGCGUGGAGGAUGAAGGUCUUCGGAUUGUAAACUCCUUUGAUCGGGGAUGAAUAAAUGACAG
This 460-nucleotide ribosomal RNA is filed under the name uncultured Clostridia bacterium. Its description in RNAcentral is "bacterial SSU rRNA". It matches the Rfam family "Bacterial small subunit ribosomal RNA", at positions 8 to 459 of the family's 1533-position model. Lineage: Bacteria; Bacillati; Bacillota; Clostridia. The record is from RNAcentral.